AGAUCGUCCCGAGCGCGCCGCGGUCCAGGCGGGCACAGCGCAGGGUCAAGUUCACGUCCGGCCCGCGGGCUGCCCGAGGUCCCCGGGCGCGGCUGGGGCAGCGGGAGGCGCGGGAGGCCGAGGUCCGGGUGGCCGCCGCGGCCGCCCCCGAAGCGCUGCUGUCACCCCGGCCGCGCCCCCCAACUUUCUGCACAGUCGCGGAGCUGGAAGUUUCCGGGCUUCGCGGACACGCUGGGCUGGGUUUCAGUCGCGGCUCCGAGGUUGGCAACAAAGAGGGAAAGAAGGAGGAAAAGCAGGCCGGGGAGGGGAGGAAGAGAACCGCGCGGAGGCCGCGGCGCCGAGAGCCCCAGAACUUCCAAUUCUACCCAGAAGCUUUUUUCGUCGUGUUUUUCUCUUAGACAUGAUCCUCUCUGAGGUUGGUCCUGGGCUUCCAUACGUGAUUCAUGGAAGAGGUCUCAGCCCCAAGAGCCCCUGAGGGUACUGUCCACUCCCCCUGGAAACUUCCAGAACCUGACGUGGGGCUGAAGACAUAGAGGCUCUGAGAGUUACAUAAUUGAUUCUGACUUUGGCUGUUGGUCAACAGUGUCAUAAGGUAAAAUAAGGCUGUUGUAGAAUCUGCUCAGCCAGGGAGGGGAAAGGAGUCGGCAAUCAGGUCUCCUCCUGGGCACCUUUGUGAGGCCAGCUGGCGAGAGUGGGGGGUGACACUGAGGUCCCAGCAGCUCCAAAUGCAGGCAGAGCCCUGUCCUCAGAGAAGGUCACAGCCUAGCCAAGCCCAGCCAGGUGGAUGGGCCCACGGAACGCACAGGAACCUGGAACGGAGGUUGAAAGCAGGAAGCACAGUCUGUGACUCCCCAGCCCACUCUGCAUUCGACCACUUGGGGCCCAGAAGCUUCAGGAAAGGUGCACAAGGUCACUGGGUCCCAGUACUCCCAACAGGAAGGUCUGGUCCAGGGACAGGGCUCUUCCCGACUCCCCUUAGCCACACGCACCAGAAGUUCUGCAGUGCCCAGUGGGCAUAGCAGUCCCCAAGAAUGACCCAGCACUGAAGCUGAGCCAAAGAACUUGGGGAGCGAGCCACACCCCCUCACUCCCUCUUCGCCUGCUCCAGACUUGCCAGGCGGUUGCUUUUCGUGGGAACCGGGAUGUCCUCACCACCCUGUCCAGGGCCCAGCCCCAUGUCCCUGGCCUGCUACAGCUGGAAAAAAAAAAGAGAGAUGUUUGUUUUUAUUUGUUUAUAAAAAGAAAAGUGUUAUAUAUAUAACAUAUUAUACCUCAUGAAUACAUACAAUUAUUUGUCAAUUAACAAUAAAGAAAAAUACAGCAAGCAAAAAAGACUCUCUUCCACAAAAAUAGUGUUCAUUACAGAAAAGUACAAAAAAAAAAAAAAAAAACUAAGAGGAUAUUUAGAAUUAAGAAAAAACUAAGAGGGUAUUUAGAAUUAAAAAAUAAAAAGAAAACAAUUACCCAUGAGGUAAUUACUGAAUGCAUUUGGUUGAAAGUCCUUCUGCUAUAUUUUCCAAACUGUAUGUGUAUAUAUGUGCGCAUGCAUAUAUGUGUUUGUGUGUGUGUACACAUAUCUAUAUGAAUGGACCAUAUCGUAAGUUAUAAAUGCAUACAUAUAUUCAUGUAUAUAUAAUCAUUAGAUCAUACUAUAGGUUAUUUUACAGUCUUUUUGUUGAAUACGUUGUGAGCAUUUUAUGUCAUUAUUUUCUACAAGAUUUGAAAAAUAAAGUAUAAAUACCAGUUAAUUUUUGAAAUCAACCUUAUUAAGGAAUAAGUUCCAUGCAGCAAAAUCCCUUUCACCUCUACUGUUCGAUGAGUUUUGACAAUGUAUGCAACCGUGACAUGUAUCACCACGAUCAAGAAAGAAAACAUCACCACAAAAUGUUCCCUAGAGCCCCUUGCAGGCAGUCUCUGACUUCCUGGCAGCCAGCAAUCUGAAUCCAACCACCGUAGAUCAGUUUCAAUUUAUUAAAAAAAAAUUUUAACUCAUGGAGUAUGAACUCUUGCUCGGGAUCCUGCUAUCUAUGUUGUUGAGUUUAUCAAUAGCCCAUUCCUUUUUACUGCUACGUGAUAUUUUAUCAUAUGCCUAUUGACAUUUGUUUACCCACUCACAUACUGAUGGACAAUUGAAUUGUUUGUGUUGUCUGUUUGUUUGUUUUUUGAGACAGGGUCUCACUGUCACCCAGGCUGGAGUGCAGUGGUGCAAUCUCGGCUCACUGCAACCUCUGCCUCCCAGGCUCAAGUGAUCCACCUCGGCCUCCCAAAGUGCUGAAAUUACAGGCGUGAGCCACUGUGCCUGGCCUGUUUCUGAUUUUUUAAAAUGUUUGCUAUUGUGACUAGAACUUUGUGAAUGCCAAUUAAUUUUUACAGUGUUUUAAUGAGCAAUGUCACCCGCACGUGCUGUGAAUGCCCACGCAUGUGGGCACAGCCUGUGUGUUUCCUUCCUGGAGCACUUGAGAUGGGGAAACCAAGAGAUGGGGGGUGAAGAAAGGAGCCAGAGGCCACACAGCUGGUUAGGAACAGGCUAGGGGAACCCAGCCUCUAAAUCCCAGUAUUCCAGGACAACAUGCUGCCAUACUCUCACAACACUUGCCUGUAUCAGAAAUGCUUGUAAUUUUCCCACACAGAGAAAUUUCCAUGAAAAUCAAGUUGUGGGCUGAGAGAUGAAAGGCAGCCUCAUGUUAAUUAGGCAGGCUUUGGUUUGGUCCGUCCACCAAGCUCAGGGGUGUGUGUGAAUAUCUCUAUUUUCAUACACACAUGCACACACGCACACACACACACACACACACACACGGACACGUCGCUCACACCCACCAACGCCAGUGGCGAUGAUCCAGUCCAGAUCUUUUCUAUACUGCCUUCAGAGCACGUGGCCAGACUGGCUUCUGACUUUACAGUCGUGGCACAUGCUGGCCCUGGACAGGAGGCCCUGGCUUGGCUUCUGAGCAUCCAUUCAGCAGACUUGUCUUAAAGGAUGUCUGAUUAUUUCCGCAAAUCAAAUCUCCCCUCAAGGACAAAGUUCAGGCUGCUGGGGAGAUUCAAAGGGAUGAUCUGUCUGCAAGACGGCUGCUUCCAAAAAGGUGUCACGGCGGCCUGGGAGUGGCUGUGCCCAACAGAAGGCAGGGGAAGAGGAGGUGCUCCUUGGAGUAUGGGCACCCUGGGUGUCUGUAGAGGAUUCUUGGGCCACUCUACCGUAGCUCAGCAUUGAAACAGAGACAAUGUUUGAUUUUGCUCACUUAUUAAUUAGCUCCUAGUUAUGUGUCCAAUGGGGCUAUUUCCAUGAUCUUAUUGAAUCCUAAAUAACUAUUAUCCUGCUUUUACAGAUGAGAAACGUGAGGCCCAGAGAGGUUAAGAAACUUGCCCAAGGACACACAGCAGUGGGUACUCAGUCCAAGAAUGCCCAUUCUUUGCAGACACAGGCUUCUCAUCUGAGUUAGAGGUCUCUGCCCAUUUGUGGCUAGCAGGCUCCAAAGAACACACGUUCACUUGGAGCUAGCUCGGGUAGAACCCUAAACAAUUCUAGUGUGCUUGGAGGACACAAAUGGUGCAGACCCCCACUUCCUGUUCAGGUCUCUGAGGGGCCCUCCCUCCUCAGACCACACCCCACUGCUGAGCAGACCUCUAGCACUUGUCCUGGCCCCCAUUCAAAAAGGCAAAUGUCAGCUGGGCGCGGUGGCUCAUGCCUGUAAUCCCAGCACUUUGGGAGGCCGAGGCAGGCGGAUCACGAGGUCAGGAGAUCGAGACCAUCCUGGCUAACAUGGUGAAACCCGUCUCUACUAAAAAUACAAAAAAAAAAAAAAAAAAAAAUUAGCCGGGCUUGGUGGCGGGUGCCUGUAGUCCCAGGUACUCCGGAGGCUUAGGCAGGAGAAUGGCGUGAACCCGGGAGGCGGAGCUUGCAGUGAACUGAGAUCGCGCCACUGCACUCCAGCCUGGGCGACAGAGCGAGACUCUCAAAAAAAAAAAAAAAAAAAAAAAAAGAAGGCGAGUGUCCGGUCCCUGAGUUGAGCAAAGAAGAAUCACCUCCUCUCAGCCCUCGGUCCACAGUCUCCAUGGUCUUGAAGUCAGCGGGCCUAAGGAGGCCUCUGUCCACGGGAGAUGAAACCAGGAAAGGAAGGGCCCAUUCUCUCAGAAAACAUGUGUUUUCUGUUUACAGAGGGACCUGUCCAGUUCCCAUGCUUUGUUCUUUAAUAUGGAGCCAAAAAAAAAAAAAAAAAAUCAAAUGCGCAGCUUCCGCUCUGAGGUACACUUGAAGGCUAGAAAGUCCGGAUUGCUGCGGGCUCAUUGUGCUGGGGUGUCCUAUCUGCUGCUGACGUCCAGCAUAUACCAACCUGGAAAGCCAAGGAAAAAGCCAGACUGCCCCCUCCGCAUUACAAGGGAGGACGGGGUACAGAGGGGAGAGGCAGCCUCGGCACCCUGGGGGCUGGCUUGACACUGUGUGAGCACACUGGGGGUGUUCUGUUGUGCACUUGUAGCCCUGGCACCACAGGCCCAGCAGGCUUGGCGCCACACACCGGCCAUUCAGAUCCUGGGCAGAGGGCAUCCUUUCCCACCCCAAGCAAAGGGAGGCAGAGUAUUGGGAGAUCUGGGGUAACCAGUGGGUGGGAAUCUCCAGGCAACCUGGGUCAAGCUGAGGGAUGCUGAGCACCUUCAGAGUUGGGAGAGGGGCUUAGCUCUGGGUAAGCGGGUCUUCCAACUCGAGGAGGCAGCAGUGAGCUAAGGUAAUCAACAGAGCUGCCAGCCAGCUACACCUACUGAAGGGAAACUAUUAUCACAGGAUGCCGGCUCAGCACACAGGCUAACAGCUGAGAUUCAGUAUCAAGGAUCUGGGUCCAAAUCUAGGCUGUGUCCCUUUGCCCUCCAGGGCCUCUGGCAAGCUGCUUCUCUGACCUCGGCCCCUCAUCUGUGAAAAGGGGUGGCAUGCACGUUUAUACAGCUGCCAGGAGUACUGAGAUAACACAUUUACGUCUAAGUCCAGGAUGGCCUGGCACAUGCUUUUCAAUACACGGCAGCUGCCGUUGACAUCUCGGGGCUUUAGACUUCACCGAAGGGGCACUCUGGCUAGAAACAGCUCACCAGCUUAGGCUGUCACAGCCAGCGGAGAGGGGGUCCUACAAUCCCUCCCACCCAGGGCAGACCCCGACUAAGACGGGAGGAUGCCUCGCUGGGCCACACCUUCCUCCCUGUGCAGAAGGGGUGACAUCAGUAACCGUGGUUGACAACGGAGCCUAGGGUUCUGAUGUCACUUCUGCCCGGGUGGUGCGUCCAGCUUAGGCUGAGACGAGGGGUGGCCCUCGACCCAGUGCACAGGGUCAGCCCUGGCUCCGCGCCUCCGACCUCUCGGGGGCUGCAGCAGGGCCUGGCACGCGUGUCCCCGGGGCCGGGCCGCUGGCCCCUUUCAUCUCCGCCUCCCGGCUGUCCGGCCUCUACGUCCCGCGCACCUGGGGCCAGACGGGGACAGCAAAAAACCAUCGCAGGAAGCGCGCACGACCUCGUUUGGGACCAGCCCGCCUCCCGGGCGGAAGCCGCGGCGCCUUGGACUGGACGGUCCCGCCCGCUCUUCCGUCCCGCCCCGGAAGUCAGGACGAGGGCGCGACGCGCGG
This 5603-nucleotide long non-coding RNA is filed under the name Homo sapiens (human). Its description in RNAcentral is "HSALNT0406451". The record is from RNAcentral. Lineage: Eukaryota; Metazoa; Chordata; Mammalia; Primates; Hominidae.